This 381-nucleotide ribosomal RNA is filed under the name uncultured bacterium. RNAcentral describes it as "bacterial SSU rRNA". It matches the Rfam family "Archaeal small subunit ribosomal RNA", at positions 473 to 853 of the family's 1478-position model. RNAcentral also lists the same sequence under 1 other name. The record is from RNAcentral.
ACACCGGCGGCCCGAGUGGUAGCCACUAUUAUUGGGUCUAAAGGGUCCGUAGCCGGUUUGAUCAGUCUUCCGGGAAAUCUGACAGCUCAACUGUUAGGCUUCCGGGAGAUACUGUCAGGCUUGGGACCGGGAGAGGUAAGAGGUACUACAGGGGUAGGAGUGAAAUCUUGUAAUCCCUGUGGGACCACCAGUGGCGAAGGCGUCUUACCAGAACGGGUCCGACGGUGAGGGACGAAAGCUGGGGGCACGAACCGGAUUAGAUACCCGGGUAGUCCCAGCCGUAAACGAUGCUCGCUAGGUGUCUGGGAUGGUGCGACCGUUUCAGGUGCCGCAGGGAAGCCGUGAAGCGAGCCACCUGGGAAGUACGGCCGCAAGGCUGAA